UAUACCUGUGGUCACAAAUGACAAUAUACGCAAAGUUCAUUAUCGAUCAUAUUCAAACCAGAAAUGCCACAAAGGCUUCCCAACCAUGCGGUAUACCUGUGGUGACAAAUCGCAAUAUACGCAAAGUUCAUAAUCGAUCAUAUCCAAACCAGAGCAAGCAAUGCCACAAAGGCAUCCUGACCUCAUCGUUCGACGCUUCCUGAGCCAAGACUUGGUCAAACUCGAAAAUGCGUUCGGUCUUACCCUCAACUACCUUGACCUGAAAGGCAACAAGGAGCCAUUCUCAACCAAGGCACAAUGCGUGCAGACAUAUGGCGAGCAUUGACUGCACAAGGGUAUGGCGGGCAGCACCGCGCCCUUGCCUGUGUCCCCCCUGACAUCCUUUACGUUACAAGGACGAAUCCGUACAAAGACUUGUACGCGCCCGGGGGUGAGCGCAGCCUCGCGUUCUGUGAAAAAAAAGAUUUUAUACAUAAGAGACGUUAUACAUAAGAGACGUUAUACAUAAGAGACGUUAUACAUAAGAGACGUUAUACAUAAGAGACGUUAUACAUAAGAGACGUUAUACACGAGAGACGUUAUACACGAGAGACGUUAUACACGAGAGACGUUAUACACGAGAGACGUUAUACAUCAGAAACGUUAUACAUGAGAGACGUUAUACAUGAGAGACGUUAUACACGAGAGACGUUAUACACGAGAGACGUUAUACAUGAGAGACGUUAUACAUGAGAGACGUUAUACAGGAGAGACGUUAUACACGAGAGACGUUAUACAUGUGGCUGAAAGAGAAAUAUAAACAUGCUCUGUAUAUGAUCGACAUACAUAGUAGAGAGCAUACACCUUAUAGUAAAAUCGCGGAACGCAAGAGACAAAACGUCUUUCAUUUGUUUUCCCACAAACUCGAUAACGCAACAACACGGAUUGUUAAAGCUUGAAUUGAUUUCUCCUAAAGCAAUUUCCGGUUGUAGGGCGUAUGCAAAUUAGACGUACUAUAAUCUUUGGUAUUUCCAUGUCUUGAUAAAAAUCGAUCAAUUAGCUAUAUGAGGCAAACUAGCCACGAGGUGUCGUUAUGAAUAUCAUACAGAGCGUUUAGACCGAACUCGUCACCAUCCAUUUGAAUUUCUUCAGAACCAAACAUUAAGAUCUAUAAGGCAUUUUCCGAGUCUUAAGAACCUUUAGUCAACGGGGUAAAGAUCUGUGAAGGUUCGAUUAAAAUUGAUAGCCUCUAAUGUGUAGAGGUAAUGUUACCUUUGCAAAUUUUGAGACUUCGCUGAAUCAUGAUGUUCUUAUUCUUAAAUAGCGUGUCGCAUGUGGCGAAAGAAUCAGCACACAAGUCUUUUCUUUCAC
Nematostella vectensis (starlet sea anemone) is the source of this 1350-nucleotide long non-coding RNA. RefSeq lists it as uncharacterized. The record is from RefSeq and is a predicted model, not a curated record. The transcript has 2 exons. NCBI's taxonomy places the organism in Eukaryota, Metazoa, Cnidaria, Anthozoa, Actiniaria, Edwardsiidae.